Molecule: ribosomal RNA, 738 nt
Filed under: Plakortis sp. BZ061
Lineage: Eukaryota; Metazoa; Porifera; Homoscleromorpha; Homosclerophorida; Plakinidae
Description: SSU rRNA
Source: RNAcentral
GCAUGUCUAAGUAUAAGCGAUCUUAUACGGCGAAACUGCGAAUGGCUCAUUAAAUCAGUUAUAGUUUAUUUGAUGGUCUCUCACCACUUGGAUAACCGUGGUAAUUCUAGAGCUAAUACAUGCGUCGAGUCCCGACUCUCGCGGAAGGGAUGUAUUUAUUAGAUUCAAAACCAAUGCGGGGCYCCGGUCCCGGUCUUUUGGUGAUUCAUAGUAACUGUUCGGAGCGCAGGGCCUCUUGCGCCGGCGCCGGAUCAUUCAAGUUUCUGCCCUAUCAACUGUCGAUGGUAAGGUAUUGGCUUACCAUGGUUGCAACGGGUGACGGAGAAUUAGGGUUCGAUUCCGGAGAGGGAGCCUGAGAAACGGCCACCACAUCCAAGGAAGGCAGCAGGCGCGCAAAUUACCCAAUCCCGACACGGGGAGGUAGUGACAAUAAAUAACAAUACAGGGCUUUCGUAAGUCUUGUAAUUGGAAUGAGAACAAUUUAAAUCCCUUAACGAGGAACAAUUGGAGGGCAAGUCUGGUGCCAGCAGCCGCGGUAAUUCCAGCUCCAAUAGCGUAUAUUAAAGUUGUUGCAGUUAAAAAGCUCGUAGUUGGAUUUCGGCGGCGCGGCGUCGGUCCGCCUGGCGGCGUGUCACUGGCGCCGCGCGGCUUUCUCUCGAGGGCCGCGCGUGCUCUUGAGUGAGCGUGCGCGUUACUCGGGACGUUUACUUUGAAAAAAUUAGAGUGUUCAAAGCAGGC